UACGGAGGGUGCAAGCGUUGCUCGGAAUCACUGGGCGUAAAGAGCGUGUAGGCGGUUUCGUAUGUCUGACGUGAAAGCCCCGGGCUCACCCCGGGAAGUGCGCUUAAAACUGGGGGACUAGGGUCCCGGAGAGGAAGGUGGAAUUCCCAGUGUAGCGGUGAAAUGCGUAGAUAUUUGGAAGAACUCCGGUGGCGAAAGCGGCCUUUUGGACCGGUACCGACGCUCAAGUGCGAAAGCGUGGGGAGCAAACAGG
Molecule: ribosomal RNA, 253 nt
Filed under: uncultured bacterium
Lineage: Bacteria
Description: partial 16S ribosomal RNA
Rfam family: Bacterial small subunit ribosomal RNA
Source: RNAcentral